GCACAAGCGGUGGAGCAUGUGGUUUAAUUCGAAGCAACGCGAAGAACCUUACCAAAUCUUGACAUCCUUUGACAACUCUAGAGAUAGAGUCUUCCCCUUCGGGGGACAAAGUGACAGGUGGUGCAUGGUUGUCGUCAGCUCGUGUCGUGAGAUGUUGGGUUAAGUCCCGCAACGAGCGCAACCCUUAAGCUUAGUUGCCAGCAUUAAGUUGGGCACUCUAAGUUGACUGCCGGUGACAAACCGGAGGAAGGUGGGGAUGACGUCAAAUCAUCAUGCCCCUUAUGAUUUGGGCUACACACGUGCUACAAUGGACAAUACAAAGGGCAGCUAAACCGCGAGGUCAUGCAAAUCCCAUAAAGUUGUUCUCAGUUCGGAUUGUAGUCUGCAACUCGACUACAUGAAGCUGGAAUCGCUAGUAAUCGUAGAUCAGCAUGCUACGGUGAAUACGUUCCCGGGUCUUGUACACACCGCCCGUCACACCACGAGAGUCUGUAACACCCGAAGCCGGUGGAGUAACCAUUUAUGGAGCUAGCCGUCGAAUGAGUGGGACAAAUGAUGGAGGGUGAAGUCGUAACAAGGU
This 580-nucleotide ribosomal RNA is filed under the name Staphylococcus cohnii subsp. cohnii. RNAcentral describes it as "bacterial SSU rRNA". It matches the Rfam family "Bacterial small subunit ribosomal RNA", at positions 923 to 1497 of the family's 1533-position model. Lineage: Bacteria; Bacillati; Bacillota; Bacilli; Caryophanales; Staphylococcaceae. The record is from RNAcentral.